UGUAGGAACUAUUUCAGAAUUUAAGCUGCAAAGUUAAAAACAGGAUAUUGGGUAUCAAUCCAUGACACAGAAUCAGUAUGUGCACAUCAAUAAAAAUUCAUAUAUAGUCAAUGAACAGUACAUUUAUUGCUGUACUUUAUCUCAAAGUCACAGUGAGAAUCAAUCUCAUAGUUUGAUUCAAAUUUCACAAACAUUCUGUUUCAGCAGUCAAAUAAGGUCCACACAAUAAAUGCAUAUUUACAAAAGCCUCUUUGACGUC
This 259-nucleotide long non-coding RNA is filed under the name Mytilus galloprovincialis (Mediterranean mussel). Lineage: Eukaryota; Metazoa; Mollusca; Bivalvia; Mytilida; Mytilidae. The record is from RNAcentral.